RNAcentral lists this ribosomal RNA (495 nucleotides) under uncultured bacterium. RNAcentral's name for it is "bacterial SSU rRNA". It matches the Rfam family "Bacterial small subunit ribosomal RNA", at positions 386 to 874 of the family's 1533-position model. The record is from RNAcentral.
AUCCAGCAAUGCCGCGUGAGUGAAGAAGGCCUUCGGGUUGUAAAGCUCUUUCAGUCGAGAAGAAAAGGUUGUGACUAAUAAUCAUAACUCAUGACGGUAUCGACAGAAGAAGCACCGGCUAACUACGUGCCAGCAGCCGCGGUAAUACGUAGGGUGCGAGCGUUAAUCGGAAUUACUGGGCGUAAAGGGUGCGCAGGCGGUUCUGUAAGUCAGAUGUGAAAUCCCCGGGCUUAACCUGGGAACUGCGUUUGAAACUACAGGACUAGAGUGUGGCAGAGGGGGGUGGAAUUCCAUGUGUAGCAGUGAAAUGCGUAGAGAUAUGGAAGAACAUCGAUGGCGAAGGCAGCCCCCUGGGUUAACACUGACGCUCAUGCACGAAAGCGUGGGGAGCAAACAGGAUUAGAUACCCUGGUAGUCCACGCCCUAAACUAUGUCAACUAGUUGUCGGGUCUUAUUAGACUUGGUAACGUAGCUAACGCGUGAAGUUGACCGCCU